AAAAACACACACACACAAAGAUACUUCAAUCCACUCCUUUAUUCUUGCUAGGAGUCUCGCUGCUCUGCCUCACGCGGUCACCGGAGUCUGGUCGACGGCAAGACUCUGGGUUGUUCGACGCUGACUAGCGCGGCCCGGUGGGCGCUGUGCUCUUCAACCCGGUGAAGCCCGGCGGCCACGUCGCACAGAUGAUCGUCCAGGUGAUCGUGACGCCGAAGGUCGCCGAGGUGGAGGACCUCGACGCCACCGUCCGGGGGAAGGGAGGAUUUGGGUCCACCGACGUCUGAACUCCGAGCCUUGGUAGAUACAUCUACGGAAGUGGUUUGUUUGGGUUGGUGGUGAACACUAGGGAAGUUACCCAUGUUUCGAUAAUGGUUGUGUGUGUCUGAUGUUACAUGGAUUCUUGCGAUCUCUUCCAGUUGAGAUGGUUCUGUGACCUUAGUUUAUCUUGCACUGGAUGUGUCUCUGAUUUCCAUUCAUGAA
This is a long non-coding RNA of Triticum aestivum (bread wheat), 483 nucleotides long. RefSeq lists it as uncharacterized. The transcript has 2 exons. The record is from RefSeq and is a predicted model, not a curated record. Lineage: Eukaryota; Viridiplantae; Streptophyta; Magnoliopsida; Poales; Poaceae.